ACUCUCGGCAACGGAUAUCUCGGCUCUUGCAUCGAUGAAGAACGUAGCGAAAUGCGAUACUUGGUGUGAAUUGCAGAAUCCCGUGAACCAUCGAGUCUUUGAACGCAAGUUGCGCCCGAAGCCAUUAGGCCGAGGGCACGCCUGCCUGGGUGUCGCA
RNAcentral lists this ribosomal RNA (157 nucleotides) under Sophora macnabiana. Its description in RNAcentral is "Sophora microphylla subsp. macnabiana 5.8S ribosomal RNA". It matches the Rfam family "5.8S ribosomal RNA". From Rfam's summary of the family: 5.8S ribosomal RNA (5.8S rRNA) is a component of the large subunit of the eukaryotic ribosome. It is transcribed by RNA polymerase I as part of the 45S precursor that also contains 18S and 28S rRNA. Functionally, it is thought that 5.8S rRNA may be involved in ribosome translocation. The record is from RNAcentral. Lineage: Eukaryota; Viridiplantae; Streptophyta; Magnoliopsida; Fabales; Fabaceae.